Molecule: small nucleolar RNA, 68 nt
Organism: Oryctolagus cuniculus (rabbit)
Lineage: Eukaryota; Metazoa; Chordata; Mammalia; Lagomorpha; Leporidae
Gene: SNORD58
Rfam family: Small nucleolar RNA SNORD58
About the family: snoRNA U58 is found in introns 1, 3 and 6 of the ribosomal protein RPL17 gene in humans. U58 is a member of the C/D class of snoRNA which contain C (UGAUGA) and D (CUGA) box motifs.
Source: Ensembl
CUGCAGUGAUGCUUUUCUUAGGACACCUUUGGAGUUAGCCGUGAAAUAACCAAUCAGUUCUGAGCGGC